RNAcentral lists this ribosomal RNA (498 nucleotides) under uncultured bacterium. RNAcentral's name for it is "partial 16S ribosomal RNA". It matches the Rfam family "Bacterial small subunit ribosomal RNA", at positions 30 to 523 of the family's 1533-position model. The record is from RNAcentral.
AUUGAACGCUGGCGGCAUGCCUUACACAUGCAAGUCGAACGGUAACAGGUCUUCGGAUGCUGACGAGUGGCGAACGGGUGAGUAAUACAUCGGAACGUGCCUAGUAGUGGGGGAUAACUACUCGAAAGAGUGGCUAAUACCGCAUGAGAUCUACGGAUGAAAGCAGGGGAUCGCAAGACCUUGUGCUACUAGAGCGGCCGAUGGCAGAUUAGGUAGUUGGUGGGAUAAAAGCUUGCCAAGCCGACGAUCUGUAGCUGGUCUGAGAGGACGAUCAGCCACACUGGGACUGAGAAACGGCCCAGACUCCUGCGGGAGGCAGCAGUGGGGAAUUUUGGACAAUGGGCGAAAGCCUGAUCCAGCAAUGCCGCGUGCAGGAUGAAGGCCUUCGGGUUGUAGACUGCUUUUGUACGGAACGAAAAGCCCUGGGUUAAUACCCUGGGGUCAUGACGGUACCGUAAGAAUAAGCACCGGCUAACUACGUGCCAGCAGCCGCCGUAA